AUGCAAGUCGAACGGUAACAGUAAUAAUUUCGGUUGUUAGCUGACGAGUGGCGCACGGGUGAGUAACGCGUACACAAUCUACCCAUUACAGGGGAAUAGCCUUGGGAAACUGAGAAUAAUACCCCAUAGUAUUACGAGAUCGCAUGAUUUUGUAAUUAAAGCUUCGGCGGUAGUGGAUGAGUGUGCGUUCUAUUAGGUAGUUGGUAAGGUAACGGCUUACCAAGCCGAUGAUAGGUAGGGGGCGUGAGAGCGUGACCCCCCACACGGGUACUGAGACACGGACCCGACUCCUACGGGAGGCAGCAGUAAGGAAUAUUGGACAAUGGGCGAAAGCCUGAUCCAGCCAUCCCGCGUGCAGGAUGACGGCCCUAUGGGUUGUAAACUGCUUUUAGAUGGGAAGAAUAGUAUCUAUUUAUAGGUAUAUGACGGUACCAUCAGAAUAAGCACCGGCUAACUCCGUGCCAGCAGCCGCGGUAAUACGGAGGGUGCGAGCGUUAUCCGGAAUUACUGGGUUUAAAGGGUGCGUAGGCGGUUUGAUAAGUCAGGAGUGAAAGUUAUCUGCUUAACGGGGAAAUUGCUUUUGAUACUGUCAAGCUUGAAUCGGGUUGAGGUUAGCAGAAUGUGACAUGUAGCGGUGAAAUGCAUAGAUAUGUCAUAGAACACCAAUUGCGAAGGCAGCUAGCUAGGCCUAGAUUGACGCUGAGGCACGAAAGCGUGGGGAGCGAACAGGAUUAGAUACCCUGGNAGUCCACGCCCUAACGAUG
RNAcentral lists this ribosomal RNA (764 nucleotides) under uncultured bacterium. RNAcentral's name for it is "bacterial SSU rRNA". It matches the Rfam family "Bacterial small subunit ribosomal RNA", at positions 55 to 811 of the family's 1533-position model. The record is from RNAcentral.